Molecule: ribosomal RNA, 497 nt
Filed under: uncultured bacterium
Lineage: Bacteria
Description: partial 16S ribosomal RNA
Rfam family: Bacterial small subunit ribosomal RNA
Source: RNAcentral
GAUGAACGCUGGCGGCGUGCCUAAUACAUGCAAGUCGAGCGAACGGACGAGAAGCUUGCUUCUCUGAUGUUAGCGGCGGACGGGUGAGUAACACGUGGAUAACCUACCUAUAAGACUGGGAUAACUUCGGGAAACCGUAGCUAAUACCGGAUAAUAUUUUGAACCGCAUGGUUCAAAAGUGUAAGACGGUCUUGCUGUCACUUAUAGAUGGAUCCGCGCUGCAUUAGCUAGUUGGUAAGGUAACGGCUUACCAAGGCAACGAUGCAUAGCCGACCUGAGAGGGUGAUCGGCCACACUGGAACUGAGACACGGUCCAGACUCCUACGGGAGGCAGCAGUAGGGAAUCUUCCGCAAUGGGCGAAAGCCUGACGGAGCAACGCCGCGUGAGUGAUGAAGGUCUUCGGAUCGUAAAACUCUGUUAUUAGGGAAGAACAUAUGUGUAAGUAACUGUGCACAUCUUGACGGUACCUAAUCAGAAAGCCACGGCUAACUACGUG